Molecule: ribosomal RNA, 297 nt
Filed under: uncultured bacterium
Lineage: Bacteria
Description: partial 16S ribosomal RNA
Rfam family: Bacterial small subunit ribosomal RNA
Source: RNAcentral
GAAUUCCUACGGGAGGCAGCAGUGGGGAAUAUUGCACAAUGGGGGAAACCCUGAUGCAGCAACGCCGCGUGAGUGAUGACGGCCUUCGGGUUGUAAAGCUCUGUCUUCAGGGACGAUAAUGACGGUACCUGAGGAGGAAGCCACGGCUAACUACGUGCCAGCAGCCGCGGUAAUACGUAGGUGGCGAGCGUUGUCCGGAUUUACUGGGCGUAAAUGGAGCGUGGGCGGACUUUUAAGUGAGAUGUGAAAUACUCGGGCUCAACUUGAGUGCUGCAUUUCAAACUGGCAGUCUAGAUU